CAAGUCGAACGCUGAAGCACUGUGCUUGCAUGGUGUGGAUGAGUGGCGAACGGGUGAGUAACACGUGAGUAACCUGCCCCUGACUUCGGGAUAAGCCUGGGAAACUGGGUCUAAUACCGGAUAUGACCUGCUGCCGCAUGGUGGUGGGUGGAAAGUUUUUUCGGUUGGGGAUGGGCUCGCGGCCUAUCAGCUUGAUGGUGGGGUAAUGGCCUACCAUGGCGACGACGGGUAGCCGGCCUGAGAGGGCGACCGGCCACACUGGGACUGAGACACGGCCCAGACUCCUACGGGAGGCAGCAGUGGGGAAUAUUGCACAAUGGGGGGAACCCUGAUGCAGCGACGCAGCGUGCGGGAUGACGGCCUUCGGGUUGUAAACCGCUUUCAGUAGGGAAGAAGCCUUUCGGGGUGACGGUACCUGCAGAAGAAGUACCGGCUAACUACGUGCCAGCAGCCGCGGUAAUACGUAGGGUACGAGCGUUGUCCGGAAUUAUUGGGCGUAAAGAGCUCGUAGGUGGUUGGUCACGUCUGCUGUGGAAACGCAACGCUUAACGUUGCGCGUGCAGUGGGUACGGGCUGACUAGAGUGCAGUAGGGGAGUCUGGAAUUCCUGGUGUAGCGGU
Molecule: ribosomal RNA, 619 nt
Filed under: Brevibacterium sp.
Lineage: Bacteria; Bacillati; Actinomycetota; Actinomycetes; Micrococcales; Brevibacteriaceae
Description: bacterial SSU rRNA
Rfam family: Bacterial small subunit ribosomal RNA
Source: RNAcentral